UCAACAAAGGCUCACAAGUCUACAAAUUCAAGCAGCUGAGAUUAUGAAAGUACCCCUAUUCUCUCUCCUCUCGACGUGGAAACUCUAUCCUCAUUUCCUCCUUUGCUAACUCUCGGGAAUUAUAACGUAAAAUACAAAAGCGUACAAGCCUUCAAAGCCACCCUUCUUGUCUUAUCGUUUUUCACGAUUUUUGUCUGUGUUUCUGGCUUCUGGUACUCAUAAAAGUGUAGGUUUAUGUAAGUUUCGUUAUAUGAUAAUUGAGAUUUGAUCCGAACAGUGGAUCUGAAAACGCUGAUGGAAAGGAUCGUCGGAGGUAAAUUUAAACUCGGCCGCAAGAUCGGCAGUGGAUCCUUUGGCGAAAUAUUUAUAGCUACACAUAUUGAUACUUUUGAGAUCGUUGCGGUGAAGAUCGAAAAUAAUAAAACAAAGCACCCACAACUUCUUUAUGAGGCCAAGUUAUACAAUAUUCUUCAAGGAGGAAGUGGUAUACCUGGUACAAAAUGGUCUGGCCAGGAUGGGGAUGAUAACGUCCUUGUCCUUGAUUUGCUGGGACCAAGCCUUGAGGAUCUUUUUGUGUACUGUGGUAGGAAGUUCUCACUGAAAACUGUCUUGAUGUUGGCUGAUCAAAUGAUAACUAGAAUAGAAUUUGUACAUUCUAAAGGGUUUUUGCAUCGGGAUAUUAAGCCAGAUAACUUUCUAAUGGGCCUUGGACGAAAAGCGAAUCAGGUUUAUAUUAUUGAUUUUGGCCUUGCCAAACGAUAUCGAGAUUCAACAACAAAUAGGCAUAUCCCCUACAGGGAAAAUAAGAAUUUGACAGGGACUGCACGGUAUGCAAGUUGUAAUACUCAUCUUGGGAUUGAGCAAAGUCGGCGGGAUGAUUUAGAAUCCCUUGGAUAUGUACUUCUGUAUUUCUUGAGAGGAAGCCUUCCAUGGCAGGGUUUGAAAGCUGCCACAAAGAAGCAAAAGUAUGACAAAAUAUGUGAGAAAAAAUUAUCAAUUCCUAUUGAGGUGUUGUGCAAGUCCCAUCCAGUGGAAUUUGCUUCGUAUUUCCACUACUGUCAUUCAUUGACAUUUGACCAACGGCCUGAUUAUGGAUUCUUGAAACGCCUCUUUCGUGAACUGUCUACUCGCGGAGGAUAUGAAUUUGAUUACAUAUUUGACUGGACAAUUCUGAAAUAUCAGCAAGCACAAAUAAGUAAAACACAACAACGCGUACCACCAAAUGCUGGUGAGAGCAGUCGUCCACGUCCUGUGGAUAUGGAAAAGCAACAAGGCAAAAAUGCUUCUUAUUUAGUUGACUUGGGUGAACGGAUGAGAUCAAACAAUGCAGCUGGUAGUUCUGGCAUUCGUAUGGAAUUUAAAUCAUCAACAAAUCGAAAUUCCGAGAAUCCUCUUAGUAGAAAUAUGAUGAGCAAUGCGCACAUGCCAUCUACUUCAUUUGCUUCUGCUGACAUAGCGAAAGGGAAUGACUCAAAACCUGUAGUAUCUACUGAAGCAAGUACUGGUAAUGGAAAUGGCGAUAAUACUGGUCCUUCAAGUAGUUGGAUCUCUUCUCUGCGCCGUAUUUCUUCUGCCAAGUGAAUGAUAUGGUAGACACCAAGCUGGAACAGUGCACAUGCUGUGGAUUUAAAAUUAUUUUUCUGUGUGCCAUGGUUACAAGGUUGUAAGUAGGGUGUGGCUGAUCCUGAUCAUUGUAUGAAGACAUUCGGUUUCAUUUUUUAUGAGAUACGGUGAUGUAUGUCUACACAGCAGCUACUGUUCUGUGGUUGGAGGCCUUGGUUAGAUGUCCUUGAGAUGAUUACUGAACACAUUGGUUGAUUGGAUUUGCUCUUUCUACCUAUAUGAUACUGUGGGUAGAAUGGGGCAGAGAAAUAUUAUUGAAGCUGGUAUCGCCACUGACUGGUGCGGCUUCUGUGAGAUAAGUCUGUCUUUUCUAUGAUCAGUGCCAAAAGAAGCUGGAAUUGUUGACUCUUUAGGUUCAUCUUGUUAAUUUUAUGAAAAGUAGUGAUGUGUUUUCAAAUGAACCGGAAACAUCUUAAGCAACUGCUUGUGAUGGAUUAAUCACAAGCGAGGAAUCUGUUGAAUGUACUGUGGCAUGUAUAUAUCUUUCUGCAUAUAAGACACGAGGCAUACUGGAUUGCUUUAAGAAGCCACAUCCCGAACUGUUACGAGCAUGGGUUUCUAAUGUGGAUUAUAAUGUGACAACCCGUCAAAGAUUGCAGAAAAUAAACCAGGCUUAUAAGCCUAGGUUGUGAUCUGAAGAACUAAAGCUGGUAUAUUGCCCUCUCAUUUACAUGGAAUGACUGUAAAUAUUUUUCAAAAGAAAAACAGUGACAAGGCUGCAGAAAAUGAGAGCAGACUUCCUGGUCAGUGAAUGGUUUCUGUGAGAUUCAAGUUAUUCAAACUAGAGAAAAGUAUUUGCUGGAUGUGAAGUGCCGAAUAGGUUGUAAUGAGCUCUUUAUGCUAUGGGAUUAUUAUUGAUUUGCAAAAUAAUGUGGAGAUGCUUGCAGUUUGGGUUGAUAAGAAAUCAGUUCUAUUUUAUCAAUCCUAGGUGUUUGAUGUUGAUGCUGCUGCUCUUUGUAGCACUUUUAGGAUCUUUUCAUGCCUUGUUACAGAUUGGCAAGCUGGUGAAAUAAUAGGGAUUUUUCACCUUGUGACAAGGUGAUUCCCUCGAUGCUGUUGAAAAUUUAUGCAAAAUAGUUGUGGAGAUUGGCAUCUUUGCCAGCACACACUAAUCAUGAAAGGACGGGUAAGAAUUGCAGAUUGAGCGAGUCGAGUCUGGUUCAGACAAGAGUUUGCUUUCAGUUGAUCAAUUGUGUCAAACUCUUUGGUCUCAUCAGGAGGUAAGAGUAAGAGAAAUGUACCUCCCAGUCAAUCAAGCUUCCAAAUUUUCUAUGAAUAAAAAUCGGAAAAAAAAGGCAAAAAAAAAAAAACCGCUUUUGUAUCUUCUAAAUUUGGAGUUAAUUACCCAAAUAAUCACUGAACUUUGCCAAAAAUCUCUGGGUCACCGAAUUUCAAAACUUCUUUAAAUAGUUGAUGGACUUUGUCAAAAGUUUUCAUCAGGUCAUCGAAUUUCAAAAUUUCUCAAAAUAGUCACUAAAUUUUGCCAAAAGUUUUCAGGAGAACUUCAAAACUUCCCUAAAUAAUCACCGAAUUUUGCAAAAAGUUUUCAGGGGUUACUAAACUAGUAAUAUAUGUGGUCCCAAUUUGCAAAGUUGAGUGGUGCUUGAUAACUUUUUGCAAAGUCUAGUGACUAUUUAGAGAAGUUUUCAAAUUUGGUGGCUUCUUGGGAACUUUUGAGACAGUUCAAUGACUAUUUGGGAAACUCACUUUAAAUUUGUGUUCUAUGUGAUCAAAAUAAAUUGGGAAAUAAUAAAAUAGCACGAUUGGCAUAGUGAA
RNA transcript from Olea europaea var. sylvestris, 3399 nucleotides. It is a transcript of the gene named casein kinase 1-like protein 3, with no coding region annotated. NCBI's taxonomy places the organism in Eukaryota, Viridiplantae, Streptophyta, Magnoliopsida, Lamiales, Oleaceae. The record is from RefSeq and is a predicted model, not a curated record. The transcript is spliced from 17 exons.